RNAcentral lists this ribosomal RNA (311 nucleotides) under uncultured bacterium. RNAcentral's name for it is "bacterial SSU rRNA". It matches the Rfam family "Bacterial small subunit ribosomal RNA", at positions 483 to 793 of the family's 1533-position model. The record is from RNAcentral.
AGAAGAAGCACCGGCUAACUCCGUGCCAGCAGCCGCGGUAAUACGGAGGGUGCGAGCGUUAAUCGGAAUUACUGGGCGUAAAGCGCAUGCAGGCGGCCUGUUAAGUCAGAUGUGAAAGCCCGGGGCUUAACCUCGGAAUUGCAUUUGAAACUGGCAGGCUAGAGUCUUGUAGAGGGGGUAGAAUUUCAGGUGUAGCGGUGAAAUGCGUAGAGAUCUGAAGGAAUACCAGUGGCGAAGGCGGCCCCCUGGACAAAGACUGACGCUCAGAUGCGAAAGCGGUGGGGAGCAAACAGGAUUAGAUACCCUGGUAG